Molecule: long non-coding RNA, 174 nt
Organism: Octopus sinensis (East Asian common octopus)
Lineage: Eukaryota; Metazoa; Mollusca; Cephalopoda; Octopoda; Octopodidae
Exons: 3
Source: RefSeq, a predicted model, not a curated record
ACACUCUGUGUCACGCUGAAUAUCCCUGAGAACUACGCUAAGAGUACACGUGUCUUAGGAGUGCUCAGCCACUUGGACAUUAAUUUUACGAGCAGGCUGUUCCGUUGAUCGGAUCAACUUGAACCCUCUCCGUCGUAGGCGACGGAGUGUCAACAACAACAACAACAACAACAA